GAGGGUAUAGCUCAGUGGUAGAGUGCAUGCUUAGCAUGUAGGAGGCCCUGGGUUCAAUCCCCAGUAUCUCCA
This 72-nucleotide transfer RNA is filed under the name Camelus bactrianus (Bactrian camel). It matches the Rfam family "tRNA". From Rfam's summary of the family: Transfer RNA (tRNA) molecules are approximately 80 nucleotides in length. Their secondary structure includes four short double-helical elements and three loops (D, anti-codon, and T loops). Further hydrogen bonds mediate the characteristic L-shaped molecular structure. tRNAs have two regions of fundamental functional importance: the anti-codon, which is responsible for specific mRNA codon recognition, and the 3' end, to which the tRNAs corresponding amino acid is attached (by aminoacyl-tRNA synthetases). tRNAs cope with the degeneracy of the genetic code in two manners: having more than one tRNA (with a specific anti-codon) for a particular amino acid; and 'wobble' base-pairing, i.e. permitting non-standard base-pairing at the 3rd anti-codon position. Lineage: Eukaryota; Metazoa; Chordata; Mammalia; Artiodactyla; Camelidae. RNAcentral also lists the same sequence under 2 other names. The record is from Rfam by way of RNAcentral.